Molecule: long non-coding RNA, 409 nt
Filed under: Marmota monax (woodchuck)
Lineage: Eukaryota; Metazoa; Chordata; Mammalia; Rodentia; Sciuridae
Source: RNAcentral
AUCAAUCAACAAAUAUAUAAAAAAAAAUGUUCAACAUCUCUAGCAAUUAAAGAAAUGCAAAUCAAAACUACUCUAAGAUUUCAUCUCUCUCCAGUCAGAAUGGCAGGUAUUAAAUACAGCUAUUAAAUAAAUACAACAAUAAGUGUUAGCGAGGAUGUGAGGGAAAAGGCACACUCAUAUGUUGCUGAUGGGGCUGCAAAUUGGUUCGGCAAAUAUGGAAAGUAGUAUGGAGAUUCCUUGGAAAACUGGGAAUCAGCAUAAACCUGAUGCAGCUAAGUGGAUAAAGAAACUAUGGUAUAUACACACAAUGGAAUAUUAAUCAGCAUGAAAAGAGAAUAAAAUCAUGGCAUUUGCAGGUAAAUGGAUGGAGGUGGAAAAUAUUAUGCUAAGUAAAGUAAGCCAAUCUCUA